RNAcentral lists this unclassified non-coding RNA (400 nucleotides) under soil metagenome. RNAcentral's name for it is "partial contains 5.8S ribosomal RNA, internal transcribed spacer 2, and large subunit ribosomal RNA". The stretch from base 1 to 122 matches the Rfam family "5.8S ribosomal RNA", at positions 35 to 154 of the family's 154-position model. The record is from RNAcentral.
GAUGAAGAACGUAGCGAAAUGCGAUACUUGGUGUGAAUUGCAGAAUCCCGUGAACCAUCGAGUCUUUGAACGCAAGUUGCGCCUCAAGCCAUUAGGUUGAGGGCACGUCUGCCUGGGCGUCACAUAUCGUUGCCUGAUGCCAGUUUCCUCGUGAUGGGUGACUGUGCAGGGCGAAUGAUGGCUUCCCGUGAGCAUUGUUGCCUCAUGGUUGGUUGGAAAUUGAGUCCUUGGUAGGGAGCGCCGUGAUAGAUGGUGGUUGAGUGACGAACGAGACCCAAUCAUGUGAGACCCCUACCGAAUUUGGCCUUCAUGACCCACAUGCGUCUUUGGAACGCUCAUGACGAGACCUCAGGUCAGGCGGGGCUACCCGCUGAGUUUAAGCAUAUCAAUAAGCGGAGGA